Long non-coding RNA from Oncorhynchus kisutch (coho salmon), 434 nucleotides. RefSeq lists it as uncharacterized. The record is from RefSeq and is a predicted model, not a curated record. The transcript is spliced from 3 exons. Lineage: Eukaryota; Metazoa; Chordata; Actinopteri; Salmoniformes; Salmonidae.
UGAAUACUUUUGCAAGGCGCUGUAACCGCUGAUGAUAUAAAUGAAUGAGGAAACUAGUAGAAGAUAAGUAUUCAGCUCUCUCCCUCACACACACCAACAAGGCACUCUGACAACCCACGAGAUGGAGAAAUAGUACUAGUACUUGAGGUGAUUACAGCAUGCUGUGCUGUAACUCAAAGAUCAGGAUUCGUUCAGCGGGCGUUUCAACUAGCAUCAGUCAUUUGUUGGUCUGCUGACAAAUGUCCACAUUUGGGACUACGUGUUGUCUCCCUGUGAGAUCCAGAGGUGCACCAACCAGAUGAACUUGACCAACUUGGACAACCAUUAUCACUCAAACAAAUAAUAAUCAAGUGUCUAUUAUGCUAUCUGGUAACUUUCCAGAUAGUAUACCAUAAGAAACUGACAAUGUAAAUAAACGGUGUCGGUUGCGUGAA